Long non-coding RNA from Chenopodium quinoa (quinoa), 1477 nucleotides. RefSeq lists it as uncharacterized. The transcript has 2 exons. The record is from RefSeq and is a predicted model, not a curated record. Lineage: Eukaryota; Viridiplantae; Streptophyta; Magnoliopsida; Caryophyllales; Amaranthaceae.
CCCCCCCCAAAAAAAAAAAAAAGGUUACCUAUCUUUGGUGCUAACUGAUGUGUUUCAUAUGAUGUGUAGUAUGAAGCCUCAUUAGAGGCUAGCAGACAAGGAUUCUUGACAGUUCCUAGUUUCUUGGUUCAGGUAUUUGUAUUGAUAUAAGUCAUUUUUGUUGCUUCUGUUAGAAUUGUUGCCAGUUGAUUGUAGUGUUAUUCUUUCAAGAUUACUUUGUCAGUUUGAAUUUAUGAUUGUUGGAUGGUAAUAAAAGUUGUAUGACACCUAUUUAUGUCUGUCAUAGGCAACUCUAUUCCAUUUAGAUCAAGUUUCUAAUGAAAGUGAGAAAAAAUCUCUCAGCAGUUCUAGGGGUAUGGCUGCAAGAAGCUAAGAGUCCUCUAUUCUUACACUCAUUAUCCCCUUAUAUCCUGUUAUAGUACAUAGGUGGUAACUCUGUGAGAGAAAUUGAGAAACAAUGUUGUCAGAUAUGGCUCUUCCAUAUGAUUUUCAAGACUAUUUUAAACUCAUAAAUUCUCAGGGAUCUUUUUUUAUGCUUAUGAAAGGUUGUAUGUUUUGACUAAGGGGAUAUUGAAGAGAUUCUGAAGCUGAAGCAGUUGCUUUUAAAGUUAUAGAAAAUCGUCAGCAACUGUGUACAAGGUCGUUAAAAAAAAAAUCUUCAAUUCAAGGAGAAAACUCUAAGUAUUCACCAAUAAGCUAUACUAGUUAUAAAUUGGGCAAAUUUUUGCUCAACUAAUGAACUAUACGAAAUUGAAUGAAAAAUAUCUAUCCUUAUAGGUCGUUUCUCCACUUUGUUGGGUCCUUAUUAGUUAUUAUACUAUAAACAAAAUCAAAUAUUGUGUCUCAACUCUUGCUCGUUGCUCCCUUUUUUUAAAAAAAAAAAAAUAUUGUUUUAAAGAAUGUAAUAUGCUACUGAUAAUUUUUUUUAUUCAUGCUAUUAGGGAAACGAGUCAGAUGAAACCGAUCUACAAAAGUGGUUUGAAACAAAUCAAUUGGAUGUCGGAACAGAAAAAGUUGUGGUAAAACCAGCAAGAGGAGGAUCAAGCAUUAGUGUUACUGUUGCAUAUGGAGUUGCUGAUUCCUUUACAAAGGCUUGCCGAAUAAUAACAGAUGUAUGUAUUGUACAAUUGACAUGUCACUAGACAAUAGACAUUAAACUGUGAAGGUAAUCCCCCCUAAAUAAAGGUUAAGGAAAGAUAAAGGAGAGGAGGGAGAAAGAGGGGGUGGGGUGGUGUUAAAUUCUUAGUGAUGUGUGUCAUUAUUGAAUGACUUACUGUACUUGUACUUCAUUUAUACCCUAGCUGCCUUGCAUGAAGCUCAGUAAUUCAGUAUGGCCUAGAAUGAUGAGCGAAUUAAGCAACUCUGUUGUGCUGUUGGUCUGCUAGUUUUGUCUUAGUUUUUAUUCUAUUUAUCAACGAUGUAGUGCUCUUUAAUGGAUGUAUGACACAAAUAUUGAAGAAAAUAUGUGUUUUAUGUA